CAAACGGUGAUACGUAAAGUGUGUUGAGAACUAUUUUGAAUGAUAACAGGCUUGGAGUAAAACAAGGUUUAGGUAAAACCAGAUUUUCUGUGACAGGGGUGUCAGAAAGUGGUGUGUUGGUGACUGCCUAACCAUUAUCUCUAAGCCUUCCAUAGUGGGGGAAGCCUGUCUGAAGCACCAGAGUAGCUGGAAGAAGAGAGAAGGUACAAGUCCCUGCAUCCAGAUCCACUCACGGUCACUCCAGGAGGAAAACAAUGAACUGGACCAUGUGGAGAGACGGUGACAGCACACACAUUCCAAAAGGGAGAGGGAACUCUGCCAGGCGCACUGGGAACGAGCUAAAAAUUUGGAGCUCAUCUGCCUUGUAAUAGCAUCUUCAUAGACAAAACAGCAACAGUCGUUCUUCCGCUGAGGCCUGUGACUUUCCUGGGUACAGGUGUCUCCAGUUUCCAGUACCACAUGCAAAUAUCGCCCCAUGGAGUGGGCCUUAAAUCCAAUCAGAAAGUCAGUUCUGGGGCUGGAGAGAUGGCCUCAACAGUUAAGAGAACUGGCUGCUCUUCCAGAGGACCCAGGUUCAAUUCCCAGCACCUCCCCCCCACAGCACCUUACAACUGUCUGUAAUCCAGCUCCAAGUGAUAUGACAUCCUCACACAGUCAGAAAUGCAUGUAAAGUAAAAAUAAAUAAAUCAUAAAAAAGAAGGCGGCUCUAUCUAUACCCACUCAAGCCAUAUUGCACUAGCUGGCGCAUCAUGCCUCGCACUCCAUCUGAAGCAUGCGCAUCAUGCCUCGCACCCCAUCUGAAGCAUGCGCAUCAUGCCUCACACCCCAUCUGAAGCAUGCACAUCAUGCCUCGCACCCCAUCUGAAGCAUGCACAUCAUGCCUCGCACCCCAUCUGAAGCAUGCACAUCAUGCCUCGCACCCCAUCUGAAGCAUGCGCAUCAUGCCUCGCACUCCAUCUGAAGCAUGCGCAUCAUGCCUCGCACUCCAUCUGAAGCAUGCACAUCAUGCCUCGCACCCCAUCUGAAGCAUGCACAUCAUGCCUCGCACCCCAUCUGAAGCAUGCGCAUCAUGCCUCGCACUCCAUCUGAAGCAUGCACAUCAUGCCUCGCACCCCAUCUGAAGCAUGCACAUCAUGCCUCGCACUCCAUCUGAAGCAUGCAGAAGCCUCAGCUGCUAGUACUUUGGACCACAGUUCCCUCCAGCAGCCUUACAGUUCCUUCUGGUACUAUAAAAGCUAGCCCACAGAGAAGGGAUUUUUGGCUUAGCUGCAGUAUUUGAGUCUUGCAACCAAAGCAUGUGACAUAUUUAGCAACAGACUCUUUUUCUUUUUGAGACAGGAUUUCUUUGUGUAGCCCUGGUUAUCCUGGGACUCACUCUGUAGACCAGGCUGGCCUCAAACUCACAGAGAUCUGCCUGCCUCUG
This is a long non-coding RNA of Mesocricetus auratus (golden hamster), 1423 nucleotides long. RefSeq lists it as uncharacterized. The record is from RefSeq and is a predicted model, not a curated record. NCBI's taxonomy places the organism in Eukaryota, Metazoa, Chordata, Mammalia, Rodentia, Cricetidae. The transcript is spliced from 4 exons.